Linepithema humile (Argentine ant) is the source of this 2478-nucleotide non-coding RNA. NCBI's taxonomy places the organism in Eukaryota, Metazoa, Arthropoda, Insecta, Hymenoptera, Formicidae. The record is from RefSeq and is a predicted model, not a curated record.
ACAGCUCACACACAUAACCUCAGUGCUCUUAAAGUAUAUCUAGCAAACUUGCAUGCACUAACGCAUAAGCAUAUGCAUUGGAUUGGUAUAGUAUAAGGAAUUGGAUUGGUCCAUUUCCUUAUACCUAUGCUUAAGCGCCUAUAGAAGUUUGCUUGAAAUACUUUUAGGCAGACUACUUUUUUCGCGCACGCGGCCUGCAUAAGAACGUUGCAUUCUGUCAUUGCUGCACAUAACCUAUACCUGUACCACUAUACUGCAAAAAGAGAAAUUUAAACAGAAAGCUGGAUCUUGUUUAGGGCUAGAAAAAUUAAAAAUUCGUUAUCCAUACAAUAUUUGGGAAGGAUUAAAAAUAUUAGAUUUUAAGUCACUGAAGAAGUGCCUACCUCGAGCUAAUAGGCACAAAGACAUAGUUAAUAUAGUUAAAUAGAUUAGUGGAAUCACAGAAUCAAAAACAAAAUAAAAAACCUAACACAUACCAGAUUAAAGGCACAUUAAAUACUAGACAGAAAAAAAGAGAGAAAUUUAAGAGAAAAGUUGUACAUUAUCAAAAGUUAUUCUUGAUCUAAAACAGUAGUUUUUAUUCUCAUAAAAUAUAUUUCUUUUACCAUUUGUGAUUGUUAUCACAGUAAUACGUUGACAGUAUUUUCUCAAAACAUGUCAUCGAGUGAACAACAAAAUGUUUUUAAAAAUGUGUCUACAGCUUGCAAUAAUUUUGCAAUUCCAUUGUACAGGAAUUUAGUAACAAAUAUUGACAACAAUAUUAUAACUUCUCCAUUAAGCUUAUAUAUGAUAUUAUCCUUACUUUUUAAUGGCUCUGGAGGGAGCACAUUGAAUGAAUUGAAGUCUGUUCUUUAUUAUGAUAAUGCAAUAUUUUCAAACAAUGAGUUUGAGUCACUGAUUUAUUUGUUAAAGAACAUUAAAGGUACUGACUUGCGUAUAGCAAAUGCGAUAUAUAUUCAAGAUGGAUUUCAAUUAAUGGCUGAUUUUCUAUCGACAUACACAAAUGUCUUUCAGUCUAUUUCAAGAAUAAACUUUGAAAAUAUCGCAUAUUCAGUAGAAACUAUUAAUACAUGGGUUCAAGAAGCAACAAAUAAUAAAAUAUCUAACAUUAUUUCUUCGGAUAAUAUUGAUGAAGACACAAAGAUUGUGUUAGUAAAUGCUAUUUACUUUAAAAGUAAAUGGUUGGAUAUGUUUGAUGAAAAAGAUACAACAAAACGCAAUUUUUAUAUUUCCGAAACGGAAACAAAUCUUGUUCCGAUAAUGUUUAAAAAAUCGAAUUAUGUUUAUGGUGAAAUACCAGCUUGGCAUACAAAAUUCAUUGAAAUCCCAUACUCGAAUCAAGAUUUUGUAAUGACAAUAUUAUUACCAAACAAAGAGACAGACCUGCAGACUUUGGAAAAAAAUUUUAACUGGGAAACAUUAGCAAACGCACCAAAAUCUAUCGAUAGAAUUGAAUUAUAUUUACCUCGGUUUAAGUUUGAAAUUGCUAUAAAUAUGGAAGAUGUUCUACGUAAGAUUGGUCUAAAUACAAUAUUCGAAGAUAGUGCGGAUUUUACACAUCUUUCGAGUAUUCCUCUGAAAGUAAGUCACGUGGUACAAAAAAUUUUCAUAGAAGUUAAUGAAGAAGGUUCAGAAGCUGCUGCUGCUACAGCUACAGGAUUCAGAACGAAAAGGAGUGCAGUUUUACCGAUGACGUUUGUGGUGGAUCGUCCGUUUCUAUUUGUGAUUGAACAUAAACCAAGCAAAUUACUGUUAUUUUUGGGAAGUGUACGAAAGAUAGAGUCUACUCAUGAGAAAGAUGAAUUAUAAUUCUAUUAUAAUUAAAAAUUGUCAAACUACCAUGCUGUAUAUCUAAAAUUAAUAUCAUAUUAAAAAAAAAACUAAUAUAUUCUUAAUGAUACUUUUAACAUUAUGAAACAGUUGUGUUUUGUUACGAACAAUAAAAAUCUAUUUUAUACGUCUUGUACGAAAUGUUUAAUUCUUUAACUUUGCACUGCCUAUACUCGAAUUAGACUCUUGGUGCCUUUUUUCGGCUGAAAAUAGUCGUUCGGCAAUGAAACGCAAUUCCUGAGAGAUGCGGGAGGGUGUCUACGUGCUUCCUAGAACGAAAAGAUCGAUAGAAUACAUGCGCGUCUGGCUACGUCGCGACGCGCACGAAUUCUCUCCUGAAACGCAACGCAACGUAACGCAUCGCAACGCAGUUUGCGUUGCAUACGUUCACUCUCGGAUCUGUGAAGUGCGCAGUAUAAAAAUAAGCGAAAUUGUGAUACGCGCGUAAACAUCCUCUUCGAACUCGGCAUUGUGCGAACGUCAUUAUCACUGCCGUCGUCUCAUCACGCUGGAAUUAAUGCUACGCGCAUACUGACCUAGAAACAUUAAACCUGACGGGUCGUCAUCGUUAAUUCUACCCUAGUAGCUAACAAGCUCGUUUGGAUGGAGCUAUAAAGGACGCGUUUCUGAGUUCAACAUCUGAUCAUG